UACGUAGGGGGCGAGCGUUGUCCGGAUUCAUUGGGCGUAAAGCGCGCGUAGGCGGCUUCGUAAGUCGGCCGUGAAAUCUCCAGGCUUAACUUGGAGGGGUCGGGCGAGACUGCGGAGCUCGAGGUGGGCAGAGGGCAGUGGAAUUCCUGGUGUAGCGGUGAAAUGCGCAGAUAUCAGGAGGAGCACCGGUGGCGAAGGCGGGUCUCUGGGCCGAUACUGACGCUGAGGAGCGAAAGCGUGGGGAGCGAACAGG
This 253-nucleotide ribosomal RNA is filed under the name uncultured bacterium. RNAcentral describes it as "partial 16S ribosomal RNA". It matches the Rfam family "Bacterial small subunit ribosomal RNA", at positions 524 to 776 of the family's 1533-position model. The record is from RNAcentral.